RNAcentral lists this ribosomal RNA (502 nucleotides) under uncultured Gemmatimonadota bacterium. RNAcentral's name for it is "bacterial SSU rRNA". It matches the Rfam family "Bacterial small subunit ribosomal RNA", at positions 9 to 524 of the family's 1533-position model. The record is from RNAcentral. RNAcentral also lists the same sequence under 1 other name. Lineage: Bacteria; Pseudomonadati; Gemmatimonadota.
GAGUUUGAUCGUGGCUCAGGACGAACGCUGGCGGCGUGCUUAACACAUGCAAGUCACGGGGGCCCGCAAGGGCAACCGGCGAACGGGUGCGUAACACGUGAGCAAGCUUCCGAUUUGUGGGGGAUAGCCGGCCUAACGGCCGGGUAAUACCGCAUACGUUCACUGGGCGGCAUCGUCUGGUGAGGAAACCUCCGGGGCAAAUCGAGGCGCUCGCGGCCUAUCAGCUAGUUGGCGGGGUAAUGGCCCACCAAGGCGACGACGGGUAGCUGGUCUGAGAGGAUGGCCAGCCACAUUGGGACUGCGACACGGCCCAGACUCCUACGGGAGGCAGCAGUGGGGAAUAUUGCGCAAUGGACGAAAGUCUGACGCAGCGACGCCGCGUGUGGGAUGAAGCUCUUCGGGGUGUAAACCACUGUUGCCCGGGACGAAAUGCCCUUUCGAGGGAAUUGACGGUACCGGGUGAGGAAGCACCGGCUAACUCUGUGCCAGCCGCCGCAGUAAG